RNAcentral lists this ribosomal RNA (492 nucleotides) under uncultured bacterium. RNAcentral's name for it is "partial 16S ribosomal RNA". It matches the Rfam family "Bacterial small subunit ribosomal RNA", at positions 29 to 507 of the family's 1533-position model. The record is from RNAcentral.
AGUGAACGCUGGCGGUAGGCCUAACACAUGCAAGUCGAACGGCAGCACAGUAAGAGCUUGCUCUUACGGGUGGCGAGUGGCGGACGGGUGAGGAAUACAUCGGAAUCUACUUUUUCGUGGGGGAUAACGUAGGGAAACUUACGCUAAUACCGCAUACGAUCUACGGGUGAAAGCAGGGGAUCUUCGCACCUUGCGCGAUUGAAUGAGCCGAUGUCGGAUUAGCUAGUUGGCGGGGUAAAGGCCCACCAAGGCGACGAACCGUAGCUGGUCUGAGAGGAUGAUCGGCCACACUGGAACUGAGACACGGUCCAGACUCCUACGGGAGGCAGCAGUGGGGAAUAUUGGACAAUGGGCGCAAGCCUGAUCCAGCCAUACCGCGUGGGUGAAGAAGGCCUUCGGGUUGUAAAGCCCUUUUGUUGGGAAAGAAAAGCAGCAGGUUAAUACCCCGCUGUUCUGACGGUACCCAAAGAAUAAGCACCGGCUAACUUCGUG